This is a long non-coding RNA of Nilaparvata lugens (brown planthopper), 741 nucleotides long. RefSeq lists it as uncharacterized. The transcript is spliced from 3 exons. NCBI's taxonomy places the organism in Eukaryota, Metazoa, Arthropoda, Insecta, Hemiptera, Delphacidae. The record is from RefSeq and is a predicted model, not a curated record.
CUGUACUUGUCCAUCCUUGAUGAUGAGCUAUGGGAAGAGUUCAUCCCUUGAAUUUUGUAUUCCAAUAUUUCAUGGAUCAAAAACUCAUAUCAUAAACUCUGCGCUCGGGGUCUUGGAUGUGAGCAAACUUGGCGAUUUCGUCGUCCGGCGCCUGGAAGGGGUCGCGCCGGUUGCCGGUGUGGGGCGCCAGGUGGGCCACGUACAGGAACAGUGACGACUGGUCGCUCUGGUGGUUGUCGAUGAUCCUCACCGCCUCCUCGGUGAACAGGUCGGUCGAGUACUUGCCUUGCGCCGACCAGUCUACCGUGUUGUUCCGCCUCAUGUCGUAGCCGUCGUAGGGGGCAAACUGCAAAAGGCAUCAACUUCAGGUUGGUGAUGCGAAUUUCCUUCCACCUUGAGCAUCGCACUCAUCAGGACAAAGAUUAGAACGGCUCUGUUUAUCAUGACUCCAGUUCGAUGAUCCUAGUCCCUGCAACACCACAUUUACAAAAUCGUAAGUAACAUUAAUCAUUCAAAAUUUGGGUGUAAAGAUUAUCAUUUACAUUGUACAAUAUAAGAUUAUUGAAAUAUAUUCUUCUCGUAACUAUCCGUUUAGGACAGGGGACUCAUAUUCUGCGAUCCAGAUUCUGGUUGCUGCUUCUCUUGAAUGGACGCCAAUAUUUAUUGAAAUAUUAGUGAGUUUACAGAUCAAAUCUCAGUUGAUUUUAUUUUCUUUAUUGUAUGGAUGUAAAGCACAAAACC